GAUAGGCCUGCAUGUCUCAGUGCAAGCCGCACUAAGGUGAAACCGCGAAUGGCUCAUUAAAUCAGUUAUGGUUCCUUAGAUGGUGGACAGUUACUUGGAUAACUGUGGUAAUUCUAGAGCUAAUACAUGCAACUCGGUCCCGACCGGAGACGGAAGGGACGCUUUUAUUAGAUCAAAACCAAUCGGUCCUCGCGGCCGUUUGCCUUGGUGACUCUGAAUAAAUUGUGGCAGAUCGCACGGUCUCCGUACCGGCGACGCAUCUUUCAAAUGUCUGCCUUAUCAACUGUCGAUGGUAGGUUCUGCGCCUACCAUGGUUGUAACGGGUAACGGGGAAUCAGGGUUCGAUUCCGGAGAGGGAGCCUGAGAAACGGCUACCACAUCCAAGGAAGGCAGCAGGCGCGCAAAUUACCCACUCCCGGCACGGGGAGGUAGUGACGAAAAAUAACGAUACGGGACUCAUCCGAGGCCCCGUAAUCGGAAUGAGCACACUUUAAAUCCUUUAACGAGUAUCCAUUGGAGGGCAAGUCUGGUGCCAGCAGCCGCGGUAAUUCCAGCUCCAAUAGCGUAUAUUAAAGUUGUUGCGGUUAAAAAGCUCGUAGUCGGACUUGUGUCCCACGCUGCCGGUUCACCGCCCGUCGGUGUUUAACUGGCAUGCACGUGCGGACGUCCUGCCGGUGGCCCAAACCGGCGCGUUUCGGGGUCGGAAACUUCCCCUGGCGCGUUCGGGGAGGGCCUACUCAUACCCGUCGCGGUGCUCUUAACCGAGUGUCUCGAUGGGCCGGCACGUUUACUUUGAACAAAUUAGAGUGCUUAAAGCAGGCAGCAGCCGCCUGAAUACCGAGUGCAUGGAAUAAUGGAAUAGGACCUCGGUUCUAUUUUGUUGGUUUUCGGAAUCCCCGAGGUAAUGAUCAAUAGGGACAGACGGGGGCAUUCGUAUUGCGACGUUAGAGGUGAAAUUCUUGGGAUCGUCGCAGGACGGACCGAAGCGAAAGCAUUUGGCCCAGGAUGUUUUCUCUGAUCAAGAACGAAAGUUUAGAGGUU
RNAcentral lists this ribosomal RNA (1041 nucleotides) under Periplaneta japonica. RNAcentral's name for it is "SSU rRNA". It matches the Rfam family "Eukaryotic small subunit ribosomal RNA", at positions 43 to 999 of the family's 1831-position model. Lineage: Eukaryota; Metazoa; Arthropoda; Insecta; Blattodea; Blattidae. The record is from RNAcentral.